AUAUUCACUUUGGCAGUAUGUAUACUAAAAUCAAAAUAAUAUAGAAAAGAUUAGCAUGGUUCAUGUACAUAACAUGCAGAUUUGAGAAGCAUUCCAUAUUUUU
Molecule: small nuclear RNA, 103 nt
Organism: Antechinus flavipes (yellow-footed antechinus)
Lineage: Eukaryota; Metazoa; Chordata; Mammalia; Dasyuromorphia; Dasyuridae
Source: RefSeq, a predicted model, not a curated record